RNAcentral lists this ribosomal RNA (253 nucleotides) under uncultured bacterium. RNAcentral's name for it is "partial 16S ribosomal RNA". It matches the Rfam family "Bacterial small subunit ribosomal RNA", at positions 524 to 776 of the family's 1533-position model. The record is from RNAcentral.
UACGGGGGGAGCAAGCGUUACUCGGAUUGACUGGGCGUAAAGGGCGCGUAGGCGGCUUGUACAGUCAGACGUGAAAUUCCUGGGCUCAACCUGGGGGCUGCGUUUGAUACGUAUGGGCUUGAGUUCGGAAGAGGGUCGUGGAAUUCCCAGUGUAGAGGUGAAAUUCGUAGAUAUUGGGAAGAACACCGGUGGCGAAGGCGGCGACCUGGUCCGAUACUGACGCUGAGGCGCGAAAGCGUGGGGAGCAAACAGG